UAUGAUUAAUAUGUAUAAGAUGGUGUCCGGACCUUAGAAGGGUGAAAUAUAUAACUACCCUUUCAUUUGACUUUUGAAUAGUCGAUGCAUUGAAUUGUAGCUAACUUCUCAAUGGGUUAUGCAUUGAAAUUAUAAUAUUUAAUCAUUAAAAAUAAUAAUAAGAAAUAUAAGAAGAAUAUGGACACAGACAUCAAUUUCUUAUUAACUACUCGAAACAUUACAAAAUCAAUUAGUUUUAUUUACAUUGUAUGGAGUUAUCUCUACAAUGGAGAUAAUUACGACUUAUAUUUAAACUGUAGCUAAGCUUGGUAUCUCUAUCCUUACCAGAAUUAUGAAAUCAGAUGAAACUUUAAGAUUCAAAGACAGGAUUAUAUGAUUAAGCUUGAAUUCUGUGCACAGGAUAACAACUGCAGAAUGUAGGGUGUCUUGGAUUGAACAUGAAGCUGCUAACGCCCUAACAGUUAUGGUGAUGGGUGAUUUAUAAGAGGACAGCAGUGAUAAGCAGAGAAAACAAAGAAAUACCUGAUCUUUUUAUAAAAAAAAAAACCUAUUUUGAAACCAAAUUCAAUGGAUGGGUAAGUUGCUCACUCUUGAUGUCAAAGCGUUUUGUUUCCAUAUAAAUAAGAAGUUAAAAGGGCAAAAGGUCAAAAGAUAUAUGUUGAGGAUUACUGCUGCAUUUUCUCCUAAGAAAUAAUAUUUGCAGAAUUUUGCAUAUGCUGAAACAUAUAAUGUCAAAUGAAGAUACAUAUGAAAAGGGGUUUUUGAGAAAAGCUUCAUCAUUUGAAUGCAUUUGAAUUUUUUUAUUAAGUCAUUUGAACACCUUCAAUGAUAUCUAGCAAUGAUAGAGAAUG
RNAcentral lists this long non-coding RNA (851 nucleotides) under Solanum tuberosum (potato). RNAcentral describes it as "long non-coding RNA (STUB_LNC002234)". The record is from RNAcentral. Lineage: Eukaryota; Viridiplantae; Streptophyta; Magnoliopsida; Solanales; Solanaceae.